This 574-nucleotide ribosomal RNA is filed under the name uncultured bacterium. Its description in RNAcentral is "bacterial SSU rRNA". It matches the Rfam family "Bacterial small subunit ribosomal RNA", at positions 102 to 663 of the family's 1533-position model. The record is from RNAcentral.
ACGAGUGAGUAACACGUGGAUAACCUACCUAUAAGACUGGGAUAACUUCGGGAAACCGGAGCUAAUACCGGAUAACAUAUUGAACCGCAUGGUUCAAUAGUGAAAGGCGGCUUUGCUGUCACUUAUAGAUGGAUCCGCGCCGUAUUAGCUAGUUGGUAAGGUAACGGCUUACCAAGGCAACGAUACGUAGCCGACCUGAGAGGGUGAUCGGCCACACUGGAACUGAGACACGGUCCAGACUCCUACGGGAGGCAGCAGUAGGGAAUCUUCCGCAAUGGGCGAAAGCCUGACGGAGCAACGCCGCGUGAGUGAUGAAGGUCUUCGGAUCGUAAAACUCUGUUAUCAGGGAAGAACAAAUGUGUAAGUAACUGUGCACAUCUUGACGGUACCUGAUCAGAAAGCCACGGCUAACUACGUGCCAGCAGCCGCGGUAAUACGUAGGUGGCAAGCGUUAUCCGGAAUUAUUGGGCGUAAAGCGCGCGUAGGCGGUUUUUUAAGUCUGAUGUGAAAGCCCACGGCUCAACCGUGGAGGGUCAUUGGAGACUGGAAAACUUGAGUGCAGAAGAGGAAAGCG